AAAACUACUAAAAAUAUAUUAAAACUGAGCUCUUAAACCUAUGGAUUUCCACAUUUACAAUUUUAGAAAUUCAGACGAAAUUCGAAUAAUUAGAAAAAAAGUUUCUAGUUUUCACAAAUAAAUAAAUUAUAUAAAUUAGGGAGCAAAAGAAAUUACAGAAUAUUCUAGAAGAACAGAAGGAGCGAUGUCUUCGGAGAUAUGUUCUGAAUCCCGAUUGAAUCCGACACCCGACGCAGAAAUAAGAGAAGGUAAUUUAGGGGACGAUGGAGGGGUAUUUCGGGAAUAGAAAGAGAAAAAAGAAAAUGUGGAGAGAAGGGAGGCGAGGGCAGGAUUGUAAUAAAGAUAUAAUCAAGGGGUAGAGGGGUUUAUGAGAAUAUUUUUGGAGGCUUUG
RNAcentral lists this long non-coding RNA (391 nucleotides) under Gossypium barbadense (sea-island cotton). Its description in RNAcentral is "long non-coding RNA (GBAR_LNC020522)". The record is from RNAcentral. Lineage: Eukaryota; Viridiplantae; Streptophyta; Magnoliopsida; Malvales; Malvaceae.